UACGUAGGGGGCGAGCGUUGUCCGGAUUUACUGGGCGUAAAGCGCACGCAGGCGGUCUGCUAAGUUUGGAGUGACAGUUGGUGGCUUAACUGCCAAAGUGCUUCGAAAACUGACAGACUUGAGGGCUUCAGAGGGACACGGAAUUCCGGGUGGAGUGGUGAAAUGCGUAGAGAUCCGGAGGAACACCAAAGGCGAAGGCAGUGUCCUGGGGAGGACCUGACGCUCAGGUGCGAAAGCCAGGGGAGCGAACGGG
Molecule: ribosomal RNA, 253 nt
Filed under: uncultured bacterium
Lineage: Bacteria
Description: partial 16S ribosomal RNA
Rfam family: Bacterial small subunit ribosomal RNA
Source: RNAcentral